GGCCAGCAGCCGCGGUAAAACGUAGGAGGCGAGCGUUAUCCGGAUUCACUGGGCGUAAAGCGCGUGCAGGCGGUUCGGUAAGUUGGGCGUGAAAUCUCCUGGCUUAACUAGGAGAGGUCGUUCAAUACUACCGAGCUUGAGAGUGGUAGAGGAAGAUGGAAUUCCCGGUGUAGUGGUGAAAUGCGUAGAUAUCGGGAGGAACACCAGUGGCGAAAGCGAUCUUCUGGACCAUUUCUGACGCUCAGACGCGAAAGCUAGGGUAGUAAACGGGAUUAGAGACCCCGGUAAUCCUAGCCGUAAACGAUGUAAACUUGGCGUCGGUGGCUUAAACUCCAUCGGUGCCGCAGCUAACGCGAUAAGUUUACCGCCUGGGGACUACGAUCGCAAGAUUAAAACUCAAAGGAAUUGACGGGGGCCCGCACA
RNAcentral lists this ribosomal RNA (423 nucleotides) under uncultured bacterium. Its description in RNAcentral is "bacterial SSU rRNA". It matches the Rfam family "Bacterial small subunit ribosomal RNA", at positions 506 to 927 of the family's 1533-position model. The record is from RNAcentral.